GAAUGUGGGCGAUGUGACUGUGACAUGUCACCCACUGAUCACCAGGGUUGAUCUGGCUGAUCUGGCUGGCUAGCCCUCACUGGUCUAUAUGCGUCCCUCCUGAAGGUGAAGAAGACACACAUCCUUGAGAAAGGACUCUGCUUUGCUCAAGAGUGCACUGGUGGCUGUGCUCCCCUUCCUGAACCUCAAACCACAGAAGCUCUUUGUUAAAAGUCCUUAAUGACAAAUCAGUAACAUUAGAAGCAAUAGUUGUGAACAGAAAAAAUGGAACAAAGAUACAUACAAAGAGGGACCCGGCAGAAUCCUCAUUU
Dipodomys ordii (Ord's kangaroo rat) is the source of this 311-nucleotide non-coding RNA. The record is from Rfam. Lineage: Eukaryota; Metazoa; Chordata; Mammalia; Rodentia; Heteromyidae.